This is a long non-coding RNA of Scophthalmus maximus (turbot), 1911 nucleotides long. The record is from Ensembl. Lineage: Eukaryota; Metazoa; Chordata; Actinopteri; Pleuronectiformes; Scophthalmidae.
AGAAAAAACAACAAAAAUCUUACUCCCUCCUGCUUUCAAACCACAGAUGUAAACAGUAGCACAUUAAAGUUACAAUGAAUUACUAAACCCUUAACCCACUUAUUAAUAAAAGACAUACAAAUGCAAAACAUAUGACUUUCAUCAAGCGAGGACUUUUGAAUUUCAUAAAGCGACGCCAUCACUGUAGUUCAGAGAAUGAUGAAAACUAAAUCGUCAUAUUCUUCCUAAUGCAACCACAAAGUACAACAGUUACCUUAUGAUUUUUUAUCAUUGAUCAGUGCGCCAGUUAUUGUCUCAAUCAAUCAGUUGUUUGAUCCAGAAAAUGUCAGAAAAUGUCUCGUCAAAAGUCCAAACCAAGAUGAGAUUCAUUACGUAAUGAUAUAUAAAAAGAGGAAAGGUGACAAUCCUCAAAUUACCAUCUCCCGCUAAAAAUCCCAGGUCCUCAUUUUAGGCCUCAUCUUAAUUUCAAUCCCUACAAGACCGACACCCAUGUGACCGAUGCCCCAGAUUUGAUGUAUCAAAUUAAAAUUAUUCCCUCGCAGUGAAGGAAUCCGUGCCCGUCCACACUCCCACCUCUUCACACCAGUUCUCUCUUUUUUAAAAAAAAAAAAGACUUUACAAACAAAAAGUGAAACAUUGUUGGGCAUGUUCAGUGGAUCGUGGAGGGGGUUCAGGAGAAAACCUGAAGAAUCCGACAGCAGUGGGAGAAAACCGAGUGUCUGACAGAGAGAGGCGAGCGGGAGACAGAAAGAGCAGCUCAUCUUACUGGCCGAUUGAUCGUCUCUGUGAUCAUAUCAGCGUCUCGUUACUCAGACUGGAACAUCAUCCUCUGGAUCCCCUUACUGGAAUAAACGACUCAAGGCGCAGCUGUUGAAUCAGCACCUCCACCCUGGUGCGACCACAUCGACCCGCCGGCACGCGAUGGAGACGACCGACAAGUGCCCUGCGACACUGGGCACCUCAUCGAGAUCUCGUGACCUCUCAGUGACCUGGGCAGUGUCUCUACCCACAACGCUAUCACACCUCACUGCACACUGUGCUCUAAUCACGCUCAGGCCCACGAGACCCACUCGCCGAAGCGCCCGCAGGAGCACAUGCAUAAGAUCCAGCCGCUUCCUGACGCCUCUCAUCAAUACCUCAUGUUCUGACAUUGAUCGUUGUGUCCUUGGCGUCCCCGACUUCACUCCGCGCAGGUCACAACGGCGUGAAAUCAGGCCGCCCCUGUUUAUUACUCGGGGGACCCGCGAUCGGCUCCUCAGAAGGCCGACAGCCUUGACAGGUGGAGCCGGAGUCGACUGUGACAAAGCGCUGAUUAGCCUGUCACUCUGAAUGGAGGGAAGCCAAACUGGUCUACCGACCCCCCCCCCCGCGAGCGACGACGGGUACGGCAAGGCUGCGCGCGUCGCCGCGUCGAGACGGAUAAAUGCAGAUGACAAACUGUGUUGGAGUCACAAGUGCCCGUCACGUUGACGCGUUUCAGGAACAUGGCUCUGGUGUCACUCUCAUUAAUUGCGCGCCAGUUUAUUAAUGAAUAGGAUUUAAUUAUAUCUUGUGAAUUAACAAUGAGAAGUAUCCGUCUGUCCUCCAAAUCUCCACCUUGGAAAGUGGUUAGAAGUGACCUGUACAUUAAAGUUCAUGUAAGUUUGUUUUUUUUGGGGGGGGGGGGGCUAAUGUUUGAACAUCUCUUUUGUUAAGAGUGUGCAGGUCAAUUGUUUUGAGCCACAUCUGGCCUCCCAUUGUUAGGGUGCAACAUCUGGCCAUGGGCAAUACUUGAAAAUUAGCAAUAAGGGAUAACCCUGGCUCAUGUCAGCAUUGCCCUAAAAAAAUACACAAAUAAAAUGAAACGACUGAAGAAAUCAGCUGCCAUGUAUCAUGAUUACCGUCACUUUUUUUAUGUUACCUUUUGUCUGC